RNAcentral lists this long non-coding RNA (620 nucleotides) under Mytilus galloprovincialis (Mediterranean mussel). The record is from RNAcentral. Lineage: Eukaryota; Metazoa; Mollusca; Bivalvia; Mytilida; Mytilidae.
GUUCGAAGAAGACAUUGUCGAAUAGAUGAUCAAAUAUUUUUCAUUUGUGUUCUUAUUACAUUAGGCGUUCUUAUCAUAUAACGUAGUAUAUGAUCAGAAAUGUAGUAAGAAAUAUUGAAAAUAAAAAAUAAAAACUAGAAAUAAAACGCAGACGUUAAAAUAUUUUCAGUGGAUGGAAAAGCUCUCAUUAGUUUACCAAAUUAACUACCUUCUAAAUAGAGCUAUCUCAUUUUUUGCUAUUCAUUUUAAUAACACAUUUUUACGAAAAUAAGAAACAAAUAAUUAUGAUGAAUGGAUAUGUUUUGAAUUUCAAUUAAUGCAAUAUUUGAACUACUGGUAAAUUAUUGAGAUAACGAAUUAAAUAAACCCUUUCGAUAAAUUCAUGAUUUGGAAGUUGGCAGUAUAUAACCUAUUGUAAGCGGGAUAACACAAUCUUAUUUUCUAAUGGUUUUUUUUACCAAGUCUGUGAAUCUAAGUACGCUCCGUGUGAACUGAUCGAUCCUUUGAAUACACUUAUUCUAAAAGGUGACCAAUUCAAUACAGUAAUUGAUCUUUGAAUAAUGUUUUAUAUGAUUGUAUGCAUAUUUAUUUUAUUACUAAUGAAUAAAAGAAUAACCAGA